This 2384-nucleotide long non-coding RNA is filed under the name Penaeus monodon (black tiger shrimp). RNAcentral describes it as "uncharacterized LOC119599006". The record is from RNAcentral. Lineage: Eukaryota; Metazoa; Arthropoda; Malacostraca; Decapoda; Penaeidae.
CCUCCUCCUCCUCCUCCUCCUCCUCCUCCUCCUCCUCCUCCUCCUCCUGUCAUUUGACCUUUUACGUUGGUGAUGCUCACCUGCUUAAAUAAAUGCGUCUGUUUCUUAUAAAGAAUACGACGGACUUUGUCGUGUUUCAGCUCUCUCUUCUGAGAUCGACCGAUUCCCUUUGCACCCGCAGAUAUUUGAUCGUUAUUUAGGAGUAGGGAAUAAGACUUGGGUUUUAGACACUUUGCCUCUUUUAGGGGAACCUCCUCCGUCUGAGAUUUUAAUAAUCCGAGCUUGCCCUUGACAAAUUGAUCGUACAAGGGAUGGUCGUGGCUAAGAUGAGAAGAGUCUUUCCAGUCUUUUAAAGGAGACAUUGAUAAUUCUUUAUCAUUAUCAUGUCUCCACAGAGAGAGUAUAGCUAUCGGUACCGGAGUAGCAAAGCUUCACCCAAUCUCCGUAAUGAGCCUUUAAAACUUAUAAUAAAAGUUAUACAACUUCCGUUUUAGUUUACACAACUUCAGCUUAGCCAGUACCAAGAGGGUAAAUCCAAUGCACUGUGGCAAUUCAUGUUAACGGGUUGAAGCCUUGUUAUUACCCGGUGAGGGGCAAGGGUCGCGAGUCUUUUGAAGAGAGGGCUUCUGAUCUCUUUCAGAAAUGACGCGUUGCACAUGCUAGUAUGUUUUUUUUUUUUUUCCAGAGGGUUUACUAAACACCGCCGGAAUACACUGUUUGAGAGCGUUUCAAAACACGACUGUUACUCUUUAUCAGCGGUUUCACGACGCGCCUUAGUAUUUUCGUGAAUAAAAGGCGAUAAAUAAUCACGUUGGGAGAAUUCGUACACUUCACACACUCGCUGCCCCUCCAUCCCAUAGCUCUCUCUCUCCUCCUCUCCUCCUCCUCCUCCUCUUCCUCCUCCUCCUCCCUCCUCCGAAGUCAAGUAGAAGGUGUAUAUGUUUAAGCAGAAUGAGGUAAUCCUUCUGCGGGUGUGAUGUUUUUUUUUCUGGUACGCGUCUGUUCUGCGGGGCUAGGAGAUGCUUGUUAUACGGAUGUCCUGAUUUCUGAUGUUCAUGUGGUGAAUGAGGAGAGGCAGCUCGUCUGUACUUUUAAUUCAGCCACUAUCUAGUGCCCAGUAUCGCCGCUUUCAUUGUACUUAGUUUGUAGUGGGCUGUCUGUAUAUACUUCCUCCCACGGUCCCCCACAUAUGCCUUCCGUCUCCCCCCUUACGAGAUGAAGGACGGCCUCGUACGCCUCCGAGGUCGCCCAAAUCCCCUGCUUUUAUCCCCCGGGGGUGAGGAUGCCCGUCGCGGCGAGGAGGCUGCGACAACAGAAAACGGGAAGCGCACCUGGAGCGUCUCACGGGCGCGGCUGCGUUUCCUGUGAUUGUGUUUCAUUUGUUUUACGUUAGUUGUGUGUGCAUUUGAUAAACAUUUUUACAUCAUGUUUUAGACGAACCUUUGCCGUAUCAGAAAUAGACCACCAAAGAGAAACUGAAACUGAAAAGAAACUUUUAAACUUUAUUAAUCUUAUUUAUUAUCAUGUUAUCAUAAUUUCAUUUUGAAUAUUUUACAUCUUCCAUUUUUUUACAAUUUUAUGAACUUAUUUUACUAUGAUAUGCACUUGUGCACGAUGUUUUUUUUUCUUAAUUUUACUAUUUUAUUUCACAGAACAUUUAUUCAUUUUUGAACACUUUUAAAACAUUUUAAUUAUAAUAAGAAGAAUAUCUUAGUGGUCCUAAGACUUUUUAGUUGCAAAUCCUGUGAGAACCAAAGUCCCAGGUCCUUCAGGCAGUCCCAGCUCGAGUUGCAGGAGUUGCAGUGCCGGAAUCUAUGGUUGUGCGCAGGAUAAUGGUGGUCUCGCCGAUAUAUAGCUAGCAUAUAACCGCGAAUGGAGUCGAACAGCUAAGAAGAAGACGAAUGUGAAGAAGAAUAGGCUUGAUCUGCAGAAACAAGCCGAGAGACAGGAAAGGGAGGCAAUGCAAACUGCACAGGAGGCAGUUUGGGCUCAAGCGGCGCAGGAGGCGCAGGCUGAGAUGCAGGCACGAAACAACUAGAUUACUCGACGACUCUGCCGUGUCCGGGGAAAAGGCGCUCCACCUGCCUCGCCCCGCAGACAUCAGGCACGGCAGAGUCGUGCGCUCGACCAACGCCGCACGAGAGGUAGGUCAAAGGGAAAUUAUGUUUUCAUGUUAGCAUAGCCUUGAUUAUAUUGUUUUUGUUUCUUCUUUUGUUUGUUUGUUUAUGUGGAGUUACGUAUGUUUUACUGUGAUUAUUAUGUUUACUGAAGUUAUGUAUUUUAUCUUUCACUGUAAUUGUAGCGUCAUUAUUGUAUAUUUAUGUACUCACUCCAAGUGCAUCACAAACAUAAAAACUACAAUUAAGUAUCAUGCUGUACCACGA